GAUGGCAGGAUGCGUAUAGAAUUUUCCUUAUUCAAUUUGAAACUAGGUCAAAAAAGAGUCAUUCUACUCGGCUGCUUUCACACCGCACACUUGCUAACGUGGUUUCUCUCUUUCUUUUUUAUUUUACUCUUUUUUUUUAUUUUUUAUUUUUUUGGUCUUGGGAAAAAGACUCAGGAGAUAGCAUUUGCCCUUCUUUCUUCCCACAAACCUCCAUUGAUGACAGCAUCUGUGGCAUCCUCCAACAAAAAACUCUCUAUCUCUCACUCACAAACGUAUUGUAACAGUGAAACAUCUUUGGAACUCGGUAUUAUACUAUUAAUUGGUUGCCUGUGUGCUUUUCUCUUUAUGUACAAGUUUCUUUUUGAUCUAUCUCUGUGUGCCUGCCUCUCUUUGUGCAAGUUGGUUGUGUGUGGGUGUCUGUGUUCAAGUUGUCUGCCUCUCUGUAAGUUGGUUGUAUUUUUGUUUUUGCCCAUCAUCUGUUCAAUAGAAGUACAGAAAAAAACCAUCAUCUACUAUAUCUUUGCCAUCAUAGCUCCAUUACUUUGUGCGAGGGGUCUUAUGCUCCGAAAAUAGAAUGUAUAUACUAAUACGAAAUUGUUGUUACAAUUGUUAGUACACAAUCUAUGAAAUGAGGUCUGCAAUGUCAUUUCUACCCUAACAUGUGGGGGAUUUUGUUAUAUUGUAAAGGGAGCUAGUGUUUCAACUUUAAAGAAAUUUUGGAUACAGUUUCUCUUAUCCUCAAGACUGAAUUGUUUCUUCACUGGCAGAAGGGCUUUUCUAUUCGACCUUCGACCAUGACUCAAGUUUGUAACAGAUUCGAAUGGUGGGGGAGGAGAUUCGCACAAAGGGGAGAGGUGAAGCUCAAAUUCGCACAGUGGGAGAGAGAGGUUCGCACGGAGGGGAAGCGGCAAAGCUCAAGGGAGAUUCCAGGCAAAGGCGACGGGGAGGGAUUCACGGUGUUAAGGACCUACAGCAAAAGAGUUCUUCUACGGAACAACAACUGUAGCAGCUGCACACUUGCACACCAUACGUGGCGUCUUUCCUUUCUUUUUCUUUUUUUAAUAAUUCAAAAUGUGCGUUUUUAGAAAAUGUAUUACGGUUAGUUUUUUGCAUUUCGAAUUCCUCCCUCCUGCGAAACCCCUUCUACGUCGCCCGCGUGACACCUUCCUCUGCCCAGCACCACCGGUGAUGCCAGCUCUCUGCCCAGAAACACCGAAAGACACUACUUUGCUCAUACAAAGCUGCCGCUCCUCGGGAAAUCUUUUAACAAGCAAACGGUGUAAUUAUUCCUUAUAUAUAUCCUAAAGGGCUAAAGCUUCUUCCACAGCUCGUGUUUUCCAAGUCUUCUUCUCUAUUUUCCUACUUGUUCGUUUCUUAGGGUUUUCUUCUCAGUUAUGGAAUAUGCAGAAAUCGAAUACAGAUGCUUUGUCGAUUAUCAACGACCAUGAGACCGGGAGGUCUAGGGGAUUCGGAUUUGUGGGUAUGGUGAAAGUGGGUAUGGUUACAGUGGGUCCAGGUACUCGAGGGGUGGCGGCGGCGAUGGUGGUAGCUGGAGGAACUGAAGGGGCUAAAGGCUUAAUCGGGUCUGUAUCCUUGAUUUGAGUGGCUCUGUAGUCUAUAGAAGAUAGCGGUUUGGUUUGGUUUGGUUUUAUGGUUUCGAAUAUUCGAUUGUGGUUUUCUUGUUCCUUUCAGUUUGAUGCUCUCCUUUUUGACCGA
Carya illinoinensis is the source of this 1716-nucleotide long non-coding RNA. RefSeq lists it as uncharacterized. NCBI's taxonomy places the organism in Eukaryota, Viridiplantae, Streptophyta, Magnoliopsida, Fagales, Juglandaceae. The transcript has 2 exons. The record is from RefSeq and is a predicted model, not a curated record.